RNAcentral lists this ribosomal RNA (519 nucleotides) under uncultured bacterium. RNAcentral describes it as "bacterial SSU rRNA". It matches the Rfam family "Bacterial small subunit ribosomal RNA", at positions 9 to 526 of the family's 1533-position model. The record is from RNAcentral.
GAGUUUGAUCCUGGCUCAGGAUGAACGCUGGCGGCGUGCUUAACACAUGCAAGUCGAGCGAAGCACUCUGCUUUGAUUCUUUCGGGAUGAAGAGCAUUGUGACUGAGCGGCGGACGGGUGAGUAACGCGUGGGUAACCUGCCUCAUACAGGGGGAUAACAGUUAGAAAUGGCUGCUAAUACCGCAUAAGACCACAGCACCGCAUGGUGCAGGGGUAAAAACUCCGGUGGUAUGAGAUGGACCCGCGUUGGAUUAGCUUGUUGGUGGGGUAACGGCCCACCAAGGCGACGAUCCAUAGCCGGCCUGAGAGGGUGAACGGCCACAUUAGGACUGAGACACGGCCCAGACUCCUACGGGAGGCAGCAGUGGGGAAUAUUGCACAAUGGGGGAAACCCUGAUGCAGCGACGCCGCGUGGAGGAAGAAGGUUUUCGGAUUGUAAACUCCUGUCGUUAGGGACGAUAAUGACGGUACCUAACAAGAAAGCACCGGCUAACUACGUGCCAGCCGCCGCGGUAAUAC